GAAAUGCGAUAAGUAAUGUGAAUUGCAGAAUUCAGUGAAUCAUCGAAUCUUUGAACGCACCUUGCGCUCCUUGGUAUUCCUUGGAGCAUGCCUGUUUGAGUAUCAUGAAAUCUUCAAAGUAAAUCUUUUGUUAACUCAAUUGGUUUCUACUUUGGUAUUGGAGGUCUUUGCAGCUUCACACCUGCUCCUCUUUGUUCAUUAGCUGGAUCUCAGUGUUAUGCUUGGUUCCACUCGGCGUGAUAAGUUAUCUAUCGCUGAGGACACUGUAGAAGGUGGCCAAGGUAAAUGCAGAUGAACCGCUUCUAAUAGUCCAUUGACUUGGACAAUACUUUUAUGAUCUGAUCUCAAAUCAGGUAGGACUACCCGCUGAACUUAAGC
Molecule: unclassified non-coding RNA, 378 nt
Filed under: plant metagenome
Description: partial contains 5.8S ribosomal RNA, internal transcribed spacer 2, and large subunit ribosomal RNA
Rfam family: 5.8S ribosomal RNA (bases 1-105)
Source: RNAcentral